RNAcentral lists this ribosomal RNA (440 nucleotides) under Flavobacterium rivuli. RNAcentral describes it as "bacterial SSU rRNA". It matches the Rfam family "Bacterial small subunit ribosomal RNA", at positions 338 to 775 of the family's 1533-position model. Lineage: Bacteria; Pseudomonadati; Bacteroidota; Flavobacteriia; Flavobacteriales; Flavobacteriaceae. The record is from RNAcentral.
CCUACGGGAGGCAGCAGUGAGGAAUAUUGGUCAAUGGGCGCAAGCCUGAACCAGCCAUGCCGCGUGCAGGAUGACGCAUCUAUGGUGUGUAAACUGCUUUUGUACGGGAAGAAACCCUGCCACGUGUGGCAGAUUGACGGUACCGUAAGAAUAAGGAUCGGCUAACUCCGUGCCAGCAGCCGCGGUAAUACGGAGGAUCCAAGCGUUAUCCGGAAUCAUUGGGUUUAAAGGGUCCGUAGGCGGUUUUAUAAGUCAGUGGUGAAAUCCGGCAGCUCAACUGUCGAACUGCCAUUGAUACUGUAGGACUUGAAUUAUUGUGAAGUAACUAGAAUAUGUAGUGUAGCGGUGAAAUGCUUAGAUAUUACAUGGAAUACCAAUUGCGAAGGCAGGUUACUAACAAUAUAUUGACGCUGAUGGACGAAAGCGUGGGGAGCGAACAG